RNAcentral lists this ribosomal RNA (439 nucleotides) under uncultured bacterium. Its description in RNAcentral is "bacterial SSU rRNA". It matches the Rfam family "Bacterial small subunit ribosomal RNA", at positions 958 to 1392 of the family's 1533-position model. The record is from RNAcentral.
AACGCGAAGAACCUUACCCCGGGUUGACAUACCUCUUGAAUUAGUAAGAAUAGUAAUUUUUCCUUCGGGGUACAGAGGACACAGGUGGUGCAUGGUUGUUGUCAGCUUGUGUUGUGAGAUUUUGGGUAAAGUCCCGCAAAGAGCGCAACCCUUGUUUUUUGUUCCCCGCAUUAAGUUGGGCACUCUAGGGAGACUGCCGUGGACAACACGGAGGAAGGUGGGGAUGACGUCAAAUCAUCAUGCCCUUUAUGUCCUGGGCUACACACGUGCUACAAUGGUCGGUACAAAGGGCAGCAAAGGUAGUGAGCGGGGAGCGAAUCCCAAAAAACCGAUCCCAGUUCGGAUUGCAGGCUGCAACUCGCCUCAUGAAGUGGAGUUGCUAGUAAUCGCGCAUCAGAAUGUGUCGGGGAAUAUGUUUUCCCGGGUCUUGUACACACCG